UGCUUAGCUGCAGAUAAGGCAUAGGAAUUAGAACUUUGUCCAGCUUAACCUGUAAGCGUGUAGAAUAAUAGGAUGGAAGAAAACAACAGAGACCACUGGCUAGUUUAGUCACUUUGGUCAACCAAGAGUCACUAUCAUAAUCAAAUGAUCUUUGUGGAGUGCUUUAUAAACUAAACCUUUCAAUAUAUUCCCCGUGCUGUCAGAGAGCCAGAGAACUACUACUUGAAUUCUUAUCCAGACUAUACAAGUUCCAAAUAACGAACGGUAUCAUAUGAAAAUGUUCAAAAACGUAUGUAAGGUUCAAAAAUUUCCAAUCCCUUCCACAACUUUAGGCUUAGUCAGAUUUAUUAAGCAGCAAUGUUUCAAAGCAAACUGUGGGUAAAUGAUAAAAUAUAAGAGAUCAGAAUAAGGAAUAGUCAGAGCUUAAUCAGGUGAGCUUUCGAAUAUUUCACAAAAUUGGGUUUCUAGACUCUCGCCUGAUCAUUAUUCAUCAGUUCAUCCCACUUCUUCAGAGCCACCAGUUUCCUUGCAUCACUGUCCAACAUACUGAUUCGAUAAUUCAAAUCCCCAAACCAGAAAAUCUGACUGUCAUCAGAAAGCCACCAUCAGUGAAUGACAUUUGGAAUGAAAAAAAAGAGUUCAUUCUGAACAUAAAGCCAUCAGAGUACUUAGGCAUAGCAAGUCCUUUUCUUUAAAUUUUAUUAAUUCAUCAAGCCAUUAAGUAGUUGGCCCUCUAUUUUCUUGUCUUCUUAGAAUCAAGUAGGACAUUUUCCCUGCAUGUCCUUUCUCCUGUCGAUUUAACUUUAGCUAUUUCACACUGGCCAUGAUUUAUUUUUAAUACUAAACAAUUUAAAUUUAUUGACACAUACAAACUUGAAGUUUCACAAUUUUCAAACAAAUUUUGCUUUUAACAAUAUAAGAUCUUGAUCUGAGAAUAACGUGACAGUUAAUGUUCUGAUCAAGUUCUGAAUUAAAUGAUAAUUUUCAUCAUAAAAUAAUUCUUACUCAUGAGAUGGGAUUGUUCGUGGUUGAUCAGUAUCAAAGACAGAUGAGAAGCAGGUGCGUCGUAGAAUUUCAUUGACAUCAGAGUUUCGCCUAUGUUCAGCUCCGUCCUUUUGACCAGAAGUCAGAUGGGAACAGACAAAGCACAGACGUGUUUGAAAGAGAGACAUACUUACUGAAACAGACCCCUGCAUCAGCGAUGAUUUGUUGUUACAUUCACUCAGAUCAGUAUAAGCAAGUGUUUUCAGUAAGUGGACACAGAUGGUAAGAUAUCUCAUGCUUUCCAUGCUAUGAUGCUCCUAGUUUACCUGAGACACUUUAAGAACACAUCAAGAUAUGGAGAGAACUUGUGUCACAGUAAAGCAACAAUAUAAGUGACAUAGUACCAUGUAGGAAGCAAGUACCUCCACAGCAGGAUACAAUGCUGAGUCAUAAAUACAUGCACUGAUGAUCAUAUUCACAACAUACCUAAUAUAGACCUUGUCAAUGCAAGUGCCACACACUACUCUUGUGAUCACACAAAAUUUUAUGACAAACUUGCAGGCAAAGAUUUCCAAAUCUUGACAAGCAUUCAAUGUCAUAUCUCUAAGCCAGAUCAAUGCCAUAUUAAACGUUAAACAUGCAUUACCUUGUUUCCCAUGUAGCCCAUUAGACCAACUCCAACGGGAGAAACUUUCAAAUUAUUAAUGCGCCUUCUCAACUUCCUUUGCACCCAAACUGAUACAUAUAUCCCUACCAUCUGCUUGCUGACGAUUCGAACAUAUCUCGGACGUGAUUUCACAGUGCCCAAUCCAUCAUCCUCUUGGUUCUUUGGUAACUCAAAGAGAGUAUCAUCUUCCUCGUCAGAUAUGUCAGAUACAUCAGAGUGGGAAUCAAUUACUUCUCUUGGCAUCACUUUCUCCUCUUUCCAGAUCAAGCCUAGGUUCCCAUGACUGUGGUGAGAACGCUUCAUCCCUUCGCCAUAUCUUAAAGCAUUUUCCGUCCAAUUAAAGCCAAUUCUAGCUGAGCUGCUUAGUACUCUCCGCAAUUUUGAAUUGGAAUCGACAGCUUGAGGGAAUGCAUCUAAUGGGCGUUCAGGCCAGUCAAGGCUAGUCUGAAGAUCAAUGCCAUAUAUUCUUCUCAAGUGUAAAUUCUUUCCUAUAUCAAUGGCCUUCUUCACUUCCUGAACAUCAGCUGCUGAGGAAGUCCUCAAUACUGGAGAAGGAGGGGCACUGUAGCUUUUGAUUUUGCAUUCAGUUUGAGAAGAUUUGUUCAGAGUUCUUCGAAUGAUUGCCUCCCACUUUGGGAUAGGUGUAUUAUCCUCUGCUCCCAGUACAUUGCCAGCAUUCAAAGGGACUACUUCUUGGAAAC
Molecule: long non-coding RNA, 2352 nt
Organism: Prosopis cineraria
Lineage: Eukaryota; Viridiplantae; Streptophyta; Magnoliopsida; Fabales; Fabaceae
Exons: 2
Source: RefSeq, a predicted model, not a curated record